GACGAACGCUGGCGGCGUGCCUAAUACAUGCAAGUAGAACGCUGAAGCUUGGUGCUUGCACCGAGCGGAUUAGUUGCGAACGGGUGAGUAACGCGUAGGUAACCUGCCUGUUAGCGGGGAUAACUAUUGGAAACGAUAGCUAAUACCGCAUAAGAGUAGAUGUUGCAUGACAUUUGCUUAAAAGGUGCAAUUGCAUCACUACCAGAUGGACCUGCGUUGUAUUAGCUAGUUGGUGAGGUAACGGCUCACCAAGGCAACGAUACAUGGCCGACCUGAGAGGGGGAUCGGCCACACUGGGACUGAGACACGGCCCAGACUCCUACGGGAGGCAGCAGUAGGGAAUCUUCGGCAAUGGACGGAAGUCUGACCGAGCAACGCCGCGGGGGUGAAGAAGGUUUUCGGAUCGUAAAGCUCUGUUGUAAGAGAAGAACGAGUGUGAGAGUGGAAAGUUCACACUGUGACGGUAUCUUACCAGAAAGGGACGGCUAACUACGUG
This 496-nucleotide ribosomal RNA is filed under the name uncultured bacterium. RNAcentral's name for it is "partial 16S ribosomal RNA". It matches the Rfam family "Bacterial small subunit ribosomal RNA", at positions 28 to 507 of the family's 1533-position model. The record is from RNAcentral.